UACGGGGGGGGCAAGCGUUGUUCGGAAUUACUGGGCGUAAAGGGUCUGUAGGUGGCCAACUAAGUCAGACGUGAAAUCCCUCAGCUUAACCGGGGAACUGCGUCUGAUACUGGUUGGCUUGAGUGCAGGAGAGGAAUGCGGAAUUCCAGGUGUAGCGGUGAAAUGCGUAGAUAUCUGGAGGAACACCGGUGGCGAAGGCGGCAUUCUGGACUGCAACUGACACUGAAAGACGAAAGCCAGGGGAGCAAACGGG
RNAcentral lists this ribosomal RNA (253 nucleotides) under uncultured bacterium. RNAcentral's name for it is "partial 16S ribosomal RNA". It matches the Rfam family "Bacterial small subunit ribosomal RNA", at positions 524 to 776 of the family's 1533-position model. The record is from RNAcentral.